GGGGAAUAUUGGACAAUGGGCGAAAGCCUGAUCCAGCCAUGCCGCGUGUGUGAAGAAGGUCUUCGGAUUGUAAAGCACUUUAAGUUGGGAGGAAGGGUUGUAGAUUAAUACUCUGCACCAAUUGACGUUACUGACGGAAGAAGCACCGGCUAACUCCGUGCCAGCAGCCGCGGUAAUACGAAGGGUGCAAGCGUUAAUCGGAAUUACUGGGCGUAAAGCGCGCGUAGGUGGUUCGUUAAGUUGGAUGUGAAAGCCCCGGGCUCAACCUGGGAACUGCAUCCAAAACUGGCGAGCUAGAGUAUGGCAGAGGGUGGUGGAAUUUCCUGUGUAGCGGUGAAAUGCGUAGAUAUAGGAAGGAACACCAGUGGCGAAGGCGACCACCUGGGCUAAUACUGACACUGAGGUGCGAAAGCGUGGGGAGCAAACA
This 427-nucleotide ribosomal RNA is filed under the name uncultured Pseudomonas sp. Its description in RNAcentral is "bacterial SSU rRNA". It matches the Rfam family "Bacterial small subunit ribosomal RNA", at positions 356 to 774 of the family's 1533-position model. Lineage: Bacteria; Pseudomonadati; Pseudomonadota; Gammaproteobacteria; Pseudomonadales; Pseudomonadaceae. The record is from RNAcentral.